Homo sapiens (human) is the source of this 3462-nucleotide long non-coding RNA. Ensembl annotates it as SOX2 overlapping transcript. Its record names the gene SOX2-OT. The record is from Ensembl. Lineage: Eukaryota; Metazoa; Chordata; Mammalia; Primates; Hominidae.
CAGUGCAUUUGAAAACUCCCCUUGCACCAGGGCUGACUGUAGCUGGGGGAAGACAUUUUACUCAUUUGCUCUUUCCUUUCAUACAGUCAGCUGGUCCCUCUUCUCAGGUGUAGAUCACCUAUUAUAAUUUUACCUAAUUUUGAUACUCUGAUAAGGAAAGUCCCAGGACUUAUCAGCUGGGAUAGGCCUCACUUACAAGACAGCUCUGUUCAGUAUUUGGAAGAAAGAAAGCCUGACAGGUUUCUUCGGAAAAGUGGCCAUCCAUGGAAUGAAUGAAAUGUUCUCUUUCUAUUCCAGGGAUUGCAGUGGCAAAGCUAGGCUAGGUCUUGGAGGCUGGUGUAAGGCGAUGUGGGUGAAGGCAGGAGGCUGAUGGAAAGACUGGGGGGAAGAAAAGCCGAAAUGGAUUCACGGUGCCUUGGAUGAAGGACGAGAGGGGAACUGCAAGCUCCUUCAACUGGUUCUGUCCGGUGAGAAGUGAUCAAGCUUGGGCUGACAAGAGGCUCAGGGAGCCCUCACGUUCUUUCGCUUUUUUACCUGCCAAUCAAACUGCUACAAGACAACACCCUGAUCUGGCAUGGACAUAUCCAACUUAGAAAUAAUGUUUCAUUCAAGAUAAGGCUCGUGGCUUAGGAGAUUGUGACCUGGCUUGCAUCAUUCUAAGACUUCUAUCGUCUGUUUUCAAAACCCAAGGAGGACCUCCUUUUCUGUGUGAUAGUUCCUCAUGCUUUGCCAGCCACUGGGUCUUUAAGGAAGCUUGCCAAGAGUUCCCGGCUGGGAAGGACAGUUCGAGUUCAUCAUAGACAAUGAGCUGGCACCACAGUUUAAGUGACUCACCAACCUGGUUGCCCACUUCAAAAUGUCAAGAACCACACUAUCUAAUUGAAAGAACUGUGUUUUAGCAAAGUGUAAUUGGAUCGCCUGGCAAGAUCAUCUCAAACUAUGUCUCUGACCUUGCCUUUCAGUGGCUAUUUUGAGCACAAGAGGAGAAAGGAAAUGAUUCCUGAAUUAUAUCUUGUUUUUAAAAAUUAAGAUUAAUUAAUACUUGGUUUUAUGUUCAUUCCAUUGUAGGAACUUAGUGAUUAUUACAAAACAGUCAAAAUAGGUCAUAGCAAAAUGAACGUUUAAGAUUAGGUUAAAACAUUCCUCUGAAAUUUUAGUAUUCACUUUUGAAGUGUCAAUUACUAUAUUUCUGUAAUUUCUCAUUUUUUUCUUGGCUUAGAGUCAAGAUGAAAAAUGAUAUUUGAAUCAAAGACAUUGUUUUGUUAUAUAGCCACUCCUUUCUAAAAUGCAAAUCCACCCUCCCCUCACCAAUGCUUUAUUCUUUGUGCGCGCACACACACACACACACACACACACACACACACACACACACAGACAUACACAGAACCAGCACCCAAAUGGUAGAGGAGGUCCUUCCAAGACUUCUAGGACCUGGAUCAUGUAAGCAGUAGAUGAGAAAAUGAAGUAAGAGAUAUAGAGUAAUAACAAUAAAAGUCAAUGAUUUCAUUUUACAAAAAAGUCAUUGUGUAGUACUCAGAUAUUUUUAAGAGCAAGUAUUAUUAUGACUAAAGUAUAUUAUACUUCUAAAUUAUUAUGAUUCUCAUCUAAUUUCAAGCCACACAUAGGCGCCAUUUGAAAGCAUUUUGUGUUACAACCUAUCAACAAAAAUCAACUAAUAGUUUUAUAACGUGCAUAGGUUUACCCCAUGGGGAAUUAAAAUUUUUAUCUGCAAGUAUUUCUGUUGUUGUGAGACUUUAGGACAAGACAACAUUUGGUGUUAACAUAGAAGAAUAUUCUAUGGCUUUUUUAGCUUUAAAGUUCAUUACUCUAAAAUAAAGUACACGUGGUAUUUUUUUCUUCCUAGUGUUCUCUUAUUAUAUGUAGAGUAUUUUCGGUUGUUGUUUUUAACGUAUACAUUAUUUUUAUUAAGUCAUUUCAUAAAAGAUAAGAUAUAUACUAAUAGACCCUUGGUUUUCUCCUAAUUUAAUUAUUUCAAGUCAAGCAAAAUUGGGCAAUUUUCUUUCAGGAAAAAAAAAAUAUUGAGCAUGAUUUUGAGGUAAAACUGAUUAUUUACAGCAUCUUUUCUCUAAUAGGCUAACAUUUAUGAUGGAUCUUAUUUCAAAGUUGAUUAUUCUCAAAGAAAAGUGGAGAUAUUAGAAUUUCCGAGUAAAUUGCAUUGUUUUAAAAAGUACUUUAAUGCAUUGUUCACAUUGUUGCCAGCUAUUGACCAAAAAAGAGAAGAAGAAAAAAGAAAUAAAAAAAGCAGUAUCUGCUCCAAACGUCAAGUUUUGCAGUUUGAAAGACUUGUACAUUAUAAUUGUUUUUUUCUUUUUUGGAAAGCAGUAGUAAUUAAUACCAAAGGCAUAGACAAUUUAGGGCCAUAACCUCCCUUCCCCCCUCUCCACCUUUUUUUUUUUUUUUUUUUUUUUUUAACUUUAACCAUGAUAGGCAUCUCUGCAAGGUAGGUUUUAACAUAUUUUUUUCCUAAUUUUUUUCCCUCCAUUCAGUAAGAAGGAUAAGCUUUUAGAGUACCCAGUCACCGUGGUAACUGCCAAAAAAAUUCUCCUGAAGUUUGAAGAGGUCAGCUAGCAGGGUCAACAACCCUGGCCUCUCUCUGAGCUCGGUCUAGCAUGCCCCAGCCUGCGGUUGGAGUGUCAGGCCAGAUCUGACCCUGGGAGGUGGACCAUUCUGGCUCUGAUAUAAAUUUUUCGAGUCAGUUCAUGGCCUGGACUCUCCAGGUGGCCUCCAAAAUCGAUUUUGACCCCCUGACCCUGUCUCACGGAGGCAUAGCAUCCACCCUAAGUAAGGAUUUAGCCAGGAAUGACAGCUUUCCACUGAGUGUUAUUGGGGACAGUAUAAACAGUUUGGAAAGCAAGUAAGGAGGUGUGAGGGCUAGCAAUCAUUAAAAGCACAUUAAAAAACAAUUUUUAAAAAUCUUUAUUAGAGAAAGUUGUAAAUGCAUAUCUGUUACAGAAUUCCUGUGAUUUGUAGAGUUUUCUAGUCAGUUUUGAAUAUAAAUAGGUCACAUAUCUUUAUCUUUUUGCAUACUUUGUUACAAAUAUGCAAAUAAGAUAGGCAUACUUGCUACAAAAUAGGUACAGCAGGAAUGUAAUAUGUUCAGAAAAGGCAAACUGGUUAUUAAAACACAUUAACAGGUAAGGAGUUUCUAAUAUUUUAAAUACUAAAAUUUUACAUGUGUAUUUUGAAGUUUUUAAAAUGGAAAAAUAAAGAACCUUUAAAAAACCCAACAGUGUGGAAUAAAGAUAAACUUGUUGCACUCAAGGUACAUUUCUACUUUGUAAAGCAAGAAGCCAAUACACUCAGUUGGAUAAAAAUGAGAGAAAAAUUGUAAAUAUAGAGAGUUACAGCUUAUAGAGCUGAAGAGGAAUAAAACAAAAAAAAGUGUCUCUGAAUAACUUUAUGUAUUUUCAACAGUUUAAGAUAUCAGAAACUUGGAAAAUA